UAAGAAUGGUUCAUAUUUUAUAAUUUUUUUAAUUUUUUUUAUCUUUUUGUUUUUAAAUUGUAUGUGUACUGAAAUUAGGGUUUCGUGGAUUGUAGUGCAACAUCGCAGGGGAAAGCGAAGAUAGAUUUUGAGUCAAUGAGAGGAAAGAAGUGGUAGGUUUGGAGAGAUAUGUAGGGAAUCAACGUGGCUGUAACGAAAAAGGAGCUCGACGUUGAUAAUGGCGGCAAAGGUAAUGUGGAGAUGGGAAUUCGUCUUCCCGAUGUGGUAGUGCGAUCAAGAUGCGUAUGGAGUAAUAAUUCUAUUGCUGCUUCUUUCAUUACUAUUUUUUAUAAUUUAUUUACUGAAAUUAUAAAUUUUGUUACAUUUGUACGUAUAUUUCUUUCAUCUCUUUUAUUUCUGUAUAUAUUAAUAUAUAUUAUUUUUAUUUAUUGAUGUCUUAUGGCAAUUCAAAAAAUUUAAAAUUUUUACUUUGUGAAUCUUCUGUCUUCUAUAGCAUCAGCCCGCCGCAAUGCGCGGGUAACUUCACUAGUAAAGUAUCAAACUGGAAGGAUUUCCUCUCAUGAUUUAGGCCAGUCUUUUCCGGUCGCUAAAGUCGGUGAUAAGAUACAGAAAAGAGAAAGAGAUUUUGAGUUCGAGUUCCAAAUAAAGAGCAGCGGUACGAGUACGUCCAAUGAAAUACAAAUGGGGUACCGGCUCGGCCCGAAAUAGUUCUAAGCUUUCCCGAACCGCGUAUUGGAUUUCAUAUUCGAACACUCUCCUCGGGCCAGGCCGAGUAAACUUGAGCCGGACCGUCAACAAGAGUAGGCCCCAAAAAAGAUCAGGUCUCUACUACACAUGACUGACUAUAUAUGAACUUGAGUUAAUUUCAUACAGCUCCCUAUAAAUACAGUAAAUUACAAAUAUAUCUCUACAAAGUUCAAUUUUCAUAUAUUAUCUCUACGAAAGUACUAAUAUUUUCAAUUAUAUUCCUUUACUGUUUAUUUUGUAAGUGAAAUGACUUUUUUGCCAUCACAAAUAUGUCCCUCCAAAAUUUUUAACUAUUAAUUGAAGAGAAAUAAAAAGGUCAAUUCAUCUUAUUAACUAACUAGGGUUAAGUAUUUUACUUAUGGUUAACUAAAUUUUUUUAACGGAUCUUAACGACAGGGACAUAAUUGAAAAUAUCAAAUUUUUGCAUGGACAACAUAUAAAAAUUAAAUUUAUAGGAAUAUAUUUGUAAUUCACUAUAUUAUAGGGUAUGAAAUUAG
Molecule: long non-coding RNA, 1244 nt
Filed under: Ananas comosus (pineapple)
Lineage: Eukaryota; Viridiplantae; Streptophyta; Magnoliopsida; Poales; Bromeliaceae
Description: long non-coding RNA (ACOM_LNC004525)
Source: RNAcentral